CCUCAUCCUUGAGUGAAGACCAUCUUGAGAAAGGGGUCUCUGCAUUCUCCUGACAUCUGACAGAUCACUGCACCAGACAGGAGGAGGAGAGCAGGCUCAGAGCCGUCUGUCACCGCCAAAAACACCGUGUGGUUGGUAGAUCAGCACAGAUAUCAUGCGAUGAACCAUCCAGUCAGAGGUAUGUGUAUAUCAAUCUGAGUAUUUGUUUUUGAGCAAACUAGUUAUGAGUUCAGCAUUUCAUAUAUCCCUAUCUGUGUAUAUGAAGGCUGUGCCAAGGACUUAAAAGUGUCCAAGCAGUAUUUCAGGAUGUAAUAUAUCACUUUGCCCAUGGUAAGGGGGGACCGCUAGGUCCCGGGAUGAGAGAGAGGAUGGGGAGGCGGUGAAUGUUAAUGUCAAAAUCUGCCCCUGCCUCCCUGACAAGUUGUUGAGAAAGCAGAUGGUAUUUCUGUAGGUAUCGGGUGUUAUCUCAGACGGACCUUUCUAACUCCCAAGUGGUCUUGCCUUGAUGGUUCUCAAACAUUCCAC
RNAcentral lists this long non-coding RNA (525 nucleotides) under Felis catus (domestic cat). RNAcentral describes it as "lncRNA (ENSFCAG00000048024.1)". Lineage: Eukaryota; Metazoa; Chordata; Mammalia; Carnivora; Felidae. The record is from RNAcentral.